GACAGAGGGUGCAAACGUUGUUCGGAAUUACUGGGCGUAAAGCGCGUGUAGGCGGCUGUGUAAGUCGGAUGUGAAAGCCCAUGGCUCAACCAUGGAAGUGCACCCGAAACUGCAUAGCUAGAGUAUCGGAGAGGAAGGUGGAAUGCUUGGUGUAGAGGUGAAAUUCGUAGAUAUCAAGCGGAACACCGGUGGCGAAGGCGGCCUUCUGGACGAUUACUGACGCUGAGACGCGAAAGCGUGGGUAGCAAACAGG
RNAcentral lists this ribosomal RNA (253 nucleotides) under uncultured bacterium. RNAcentral's name for it is "partial 16S ribosomal RNA". It matches the Rfam family "Bacterial small subunit ribosomal RNA", at positions 524 to 776 of the family's 1533-position model. The record is from RNAcentral.